This 72-nucleotide transfer RNA is filed under the name Camelus bactrianus (Bactrian camel). It matches the Rfam family "tRNA". From Rfam's summary of the family: Transfer RNA (tRNA) molecules are approximately 80 nucleotides in length. Their secondary structure includes four short double-helical elements and three loops (D, anti-codon, and T loops). The record is from Rfam by way of RNAcentral. RNAcentral also lists the same sequence under 2 other names. Lineage: Eukaryota; Metazoa; Chordata; Mammalia; Artiodactyla; Camelidae.
GUGGGUAUAGCUCAGUGGUAGAGUGCAUGCUCAGCAUGCACAGGGCCCUGGAUUCAACCCCCAGUACCUCCA